Molecule: non-coding RNA, 2270 nt
Organism: Triticum urartu
Lineage: Eukaryota; Viridiplantae; Streptophyta; Magnoliopsida; Poales; Poaceae
Source: RefSeq, a predicted model, not a curated record
GCCACGCCCCAUCCCUCCACCGCCGCGCCCCCAUCCCUCUGCUAGCCGCCUCAACCCCUCCCUCCACCGCCGUGCCCCCGGUCCAUCCUCUCCUCGGUGCCCGUCCUCGCUCCGCCGUCGCCGAAUCUGGAAGAGAUCGGAAGAAUCCGCCGCAUCUCGCGUAGCUGCUUGUCGGCCAUGCGGGGAGGACGAACGAGCUGCUCAUCGGACAUGCAGGGAGCACGGACGAGCUGGUCAUCGGCGUCUGUCCCACAGCCGCGCUCAUGACAGCGCCCAGCGCACUCCUCCUACUUGGCGCCCAGUAUACCUCCCCUACUCACCGGCCUCCUGGAUCCCACUCCCCCUACCAUAACAUUCUGAUUUCGAGGCAAACAUAGUGUUUGAUGGAAUUUGACUAUAGAAUUGUUUUCUGUACUGCUAUCGCGCUACGUCGUCAAUUCAGGGUGUGUAGAAGAUGUUGUCCUGGGUCUGUAGAGGAUGUGGUGUGUGGCUGCUUGUGUGUAUGCAUGUAUGUCGACCGUGAGUAGGCGGCAAGUAUACUGCGAUACAGGGGCAUGAAGCAAGCGAGCAGGUGUGCGCGGCGACCUGCUACUGCACUAAUAGUAGCCUUGACGGAGCACUGGGGCCGGCUCAACAGGGCAUGCCGCCCGCCGGUAGACGCCUGGUUGUGUAAGAUGGAGAUGAACCCCGCGUCGUCGCCUCUGCAGCCUGGACAGAGCUCCGCCGGUGCUGGUGAUGAACCCCGCAUCUGUGAUCGUGAUGACGCUCUCCAUCUACUUUCUCUAGUGGCUAUAAGGGAGUAAAGAUCACAUCGUGGAUGUGUUUUUCUUCAGAGAUAUGGCCCUAUCGUUGUUGGCUGUCGAAUUUGCGAUGUAAUCCGUCCCUAUAUCGGUGUAUUAACCACUUCGCCCUCCCGCACAAUGAGCAGAACAGAGCACGGCUGCAAUUUACCCAUUGACUUCUUGGAGUGAUUCAAACCUAGGAAGCCUGCUACUUGUGCAAGCAACAGGGUAACAAGUUUCUGUUUUCUUACUGAUGCACCUCAAUUUGCAAGGUUAGAACAAUGUCAGUUUACUUUAUGUUGGUUUUCUAAUUUCUACAUAUUCCCUCGAGCAAAUCUAAUUAUCUAGGUAGUACGGAAAGCAGGCAAAUUAUGUAACUAUUUGGGUGUACUCAUGCUCUGCUAUGUCAGAUUGAGGGGAAAGAAUUAUUUUCUUCACCAUCCUAUUUUUAUCUAUAUAUAAUGAUGAUCACUUUUUCCAUCUUGUGAUCUUCUUUGCUCUAGUUGUGCGAAUACUUUGUUUGCCCUUUAGUGGGACUGAAAUUUUCUUGCUACCAUGAGUCAUGGUGGCUGCUGUGGCAAAAAAUUGGUAAGCCCCCUAAGGGAAGAAAAUUGAAAAAAGUCUCAUCCUUCUUACCAUGUUUUAUGUUAAAUUUUUUGCUUGAAUUUUUUUCUGUAUAACCUAUAUCUCUUCAUGGUUACUUUCUCCAGACAUGCUUUAGCUGCAGCAUUGGUCAAGUGGCUUGAACACAACUCACAUGAGUCAUCGCCAAAUGGCCCUUUUCUAAAAUUCGUUCCCUUAUGCACUGAGAGAGGAGUUACUCCAUGACAGUAUGUAUACAUACAGAUGCAACCAAUGGAGAAACUCAUGCAGAUGAUGACUGAAGAUUUUUUCAUGAAUUUUCCAACCUGAAUUGGCUACAGAGGUUGGGAAAAAAGGAGUUCAGGCUCUGAUGAACACAUGUUCUUUCGCAGAAACCAAUUCAACUAGACCAGGACUAUGUUUACUAGUCCUCCAGUGUUUGUUGGAAUGAGAUGACAUAUGGUAUGCCAGCUAACAAGCAACUGAAGCAAGAAGAUUUUUGUAAUUUGUUGGAAAGAAUGAGCCAAUAAACCCAGGAUGGCGAAGGAUCCAAUAUGUCAGGACCAAUGAGGGCAUUGCAGAGCUUCAUAUUCAGUUUAUUUUAGGUGCUUACCUACUUCAAGUGUCUAGAUUACAGGAAACAUGUUUCUUCAAGUGUCUACUUCAAGUAAGUUUCUUAUAGAAGUAGUCAGUUUGAUUCCAUCAAAAUAGUUGUUGUCUGAUAAUUUGUGUAUGACUAAAACAGAGUAAUUCUGUAAAUCCUAACAUAACUCUAUCAGUCUGAACCAAUUUCUUGUAAAUCUACAAUACAACAUAGCCUCAUCUGAUCGAAUCAUUGGUUUCACAUCAAUACAUCCUUGUGCAUUCCCAUAAGAUCAAUAAAAUUCAGUUUGAUUGUGUCAAAAA